This 254-nucleotide ribosomal RNA is filed under the name uncultured bacterium. RNAcentral describes it as "partial 16S ribosomal RNA". It matches the Rfam family "Bacterial small subunit ribosomal RNA", at positions 524 to 776 of the family's 1533-position model. The record is from RNAcentral.
UACGGGGGGAGCAAGCGUUGUUCGGAUUUACUGGGCGUAAAGGGCGCGUAGGCGGUCGUGACAAGUCACUUGUGAAAUCUCCGGGCUUAACUCGGAACGGUCAAGUGAUACUGUCGGACUAGAGUACAGAAGGGGCAACUGGAAUUCUCGGUGUAGCGGUGAAAUGCGUAGAUAUCAGGAGGAACACCGGCGGUGUAGACGGCUAUCUGGACAGCAACUGACGCUGAGACACGAAAGCGUGGGGAGCAAACAGG